AUGUGGGCUUCAAGAGUGGCCAGCCUUGGUGUAUUUUCAAUACAGCUUUGUUUCUUGGCUCAAGUUGGUGAGACUUUGGCUGGGAAAGAGCUGGCUGCUGACAAAGCCCCCACUGAUGCUAGAGGCAGGAGGGCUCUCAGCCCAUCCCUUGAAGGAGACAAAGAGCUAGAAACCAGAAGGCAGCCUUCCAGGAGGUGGCAGGAGGAGGAAGGAGCCGCUGGAAGUGGUGGCAGAACCCAGAGCAACAUGAUGAACACACCUCUCCUGGGCACUAGCAAGGAGAAAGCUACUGGCAACGUUCAGAAGCCCGCUUUGUCCCCAACAAAGACCAGGAGCCAAGGACUUCAGACCCACUUGAAAGGCUAUGGGAAGUUUAAUAUGGAUAGGUCUUCCUGUCCUGGGAUUCAGUUGAAGACCUGCAGAAAACCCUCAGACUGUGAUGGCUGCCUUGGCCUUUACACCUGCAAACUGCCAAGGGGGAAGUGCGACUUAAAAGCAGUGUCGCGGCAAACAGGUAGCUUCUUUCAGAGCAUCCAAAGCAGAUAAGGACACUCAGCUGAUGGACGGUUUAAGAAGAAUCACUCCAAAACAAUCCAAGGGACAUUUGUGUUUCUGUAGUUAUAGUGGAGAGGGAAAUAAAUGAAUUGAAAAUCAAAAGCGCUGCUUAAUA
RNAcentral lists this long non-coding RNA (670 nucleotides) under Pogona vitticeps (central bearded dragon). RNAcentral's name for it is "lncRNA (ENSPVIG00000013656.1)". Lineage: Eukaryota; Metazoa; Chordata; Lepidosauria; Squamata; Agamidae. The record is from RNAcentral.